Phalaenopsis equestris is the source of this 318-nucleotide long non-coding RNA. RefSeq lists it as uncharacterized. The transcript has 4 exons. The record is from RefSeq and is a predicted model, not a curated record. NCBI's taxonomy places the organism in Eukaryota, Viridiplantae, Streptophyta, Magnoliopsida, Asparagales, Orchidaceae.
AGGUUAGGAAGGAGAAGCUUGGUGAUAGAAUAACAGCCCUUCACCAAUUGGUUUCCCCAUUUGGAAAGACUGACACAGCUUCUGUACUGCUUGAGGCUUUUGGCUAUAUUAGAUUCCUUCAUAGUCAAAUUGAGGCUCUCAGCUCCCUGUACUUGGCAACAGGAUCUGGGAACAUGAAGCAACCUUACCUGGGAGCAUGGGGAAGAUGAAGUUUUUGGAGUAAUGAUAAACUCCUUAUCUAAAUUAACAUAAAAAAUUUGAUGAUGAUUUGAAUAUUUAUAUUAUUUUUUGUAACUGUGAAUAAUGAAUGCUGAAAAU